Molecule: ribosomal RNA, 405 nt
Filed under: uncultured bacterium
Lineage: Bacteria
Description: bacterial SSU rRNA
Rfam family: Bacterial small subunit ribosomal RNA
Source: RNAcentral
UAGGGGAUAUUGGUGAAUGGGCGAAAGCCUGAACCAGCAACGCCGCGUGUGCGAUGAAGGCCUUCGGGUUGUAAAGCACUUUUUACCGGGAAGAGGAAGGACGGUACCGGUAGAAUAAGCCUCGGCUAACUACGUGCCAGCAGCCGCGGUAAAACGUAGGAGGCGAGCGUUAUCCGGAUUUACUGGGUGUAAAGCGCGUGCAGGCGGACGGGUAAGUUGGGUGUGAAAGCUCCUGGCUCAACUGGGAGAGGUCGCUCAAGACUGCCGGUCUCGAGGAUGGUAGGGGAAGGCGGAAUUCCGGGUGUAGUGGUGAAAUGCGUAGAUAUCCGGAGGAACACCAGUGGCGAAAGCGGCCUUCUGGACCAUAACUGACGCUCAGACGCGAAAGCUAGGGGAGCAAACGGG